CCUACGGGGGGCAGCAGUGGGGAAUAUUGGGCAAUGGGGGGAACCCUGACCCAGCGACGCCGCGUGAGGGAAGAAGGUUUUCGGUAUGUAAAGCUCUAUCAGCAGGGAAGAAAAUGACGGUACCUGACUAAGAAGCCCCGGCUAACUACGUGCCAGCAGCCGCGGUAAUACGUAGGGGGCAAGCGUUAUCCGGAUUUACUGGGUGUAAAGGGAGCGUAGACGGCAGUGCAAGUCUGAAGUGAAAGGCAAGGGCUCAACCCUUGGACUGCUUUGGACACUGCGCUGCUCGAGUGUCGGAGAGGCAA
Molecule: ribosomal RNA, 305 nt
Filed under: uncultured bacterium
Lineage: Bacteria
Description: bacterial SSU rRNA
Rfam family: Bacterial small subunit ribosomal RNA
Source: RNAcentral